Molecule: ribosomal RNA, 441 nt
Filed under: uncultured Ascomycota
Lineage: Eukaryota; Fungi; Ascomycota
Description: eukaryotic LSU rRNA
Rfam family: Eukaryotic large subunit ribosomal RNA (bases 386-441)
Source: RNAcentral
CACGCUACGUGUGAAUCAUCGAAUCUUUGAACGCAAGUUGCGGUAUUCGCAAGAAUACCAUGUUUGGCUGAGGGUUGUUUAAAACCAAAAUUGAGGUGUGUUUUUAUUCUUCGGAAAAGGAACUCCCUUUAAAUGUAUUGCAAGCUUUCAUAUGCGCGACAGCCAUAUGAAAUACUGCUCUUGCUUGAUUUGAUUUAGUUCAGGUCAGGUGGGGGGAGUAAAAGGAAUUGAAAAAAUAGAAUACGGAAAUUGAAUCCAAUUUCCAAAUUCAAAUUUGCAAGAGUGAGAGGCUUCAUUGCAUCUUGCUUGCUUAAAUAGCCAAAUUUGUCUUUGCAGUUGAUUCUAGUUUCUCUCUAUAGUCUUUUUCAUUUCCACAACAAAAUCGCAACCUCAGAUCAAGCAAGACUACCCGCUGAACUUAAGCAUAUCAAUAAGCGGAGG